RNAcentral lists this long non-coding RNA (671 nucleotides) under Setaria viridis. RNAcentral's name for it is "long non-coding RNA (SVIR_LNC008037)". The record is from RNAcentral. Lineage: Eukaryota; Viridiplantae; Streptophyta; Magnoliopsida; Poales; Poaceae.
ACACAUCAACGAUGUUGCAGAAAUCAAUAAGAAAUUUCAAAAUUAACUCAACAGAUAAUCUAUUCACCAGGCAAGACUAUUAACUUAGAUUGUGUACCACAACUAUCAUUGCUUAAACGUGCAAAGCAAUGAAACUGAAAGCUCAACUAAUCCUAUAGAUCUUCCCAAUUCAAUUCACCACAAUACUGAUUCGGCAAGUAACAGUUAUCCAGUAUCAAAGAAGAAUUGACAUUCCUUACCAGAAGAUUGGUAAGGUACGAGGAAUGUAUACUGACUUUAGAAUUUGAGAGCUCAAACUAUAUCAUCGGAAGUUGGAGCUCUUGUGUCGAGGUGUUCGGUGAGCUCAUGGAUGGUGUGGGGAUAAAGGGAGACCGCCCAUUUGGCGAGCAAAGCAUUGAACGCAUUGUGCAUUUUCACUAGGAAUGGAUGGAUAAGCAAUAAUAGACAUUGUUUAAGGUUACUACCUUUUAUUUAUGUCCAAUUUUUCCUUUUUAUUUACUUGUGAUCAACUAUUGAGCUGAAGACUGUAAGAACUUGGUUGUGUGUGUUUAUCGUAGAGGCUAAAUAUAUUUCCAUUUUCUACAAAAAAUUUGGUAGAUUGGAUAUGUACUUGCUAACUCAACAGGUGUUACUUGCAAUAGUGACUAUAACAAAAAUAAUCGCAAAUAAAC